Molecule: ribosomal RNA, 268 nt
Filed under: Naganishia globosa
Lineage: Eukaryota; Fungi; Basidiomycota; Tremellomycetes; Filobasidiales; Filobasidiaceae
Description: partial large subunit ribosomal RNA
Rfam family: Eukaryotic large subunit ribosomal RNA
Source: RNAcentral
GGUGAGAAUCCCGUCCUUGACAUGGACCCCCAAUGCUUUGUGAUACACUUUCAACGAGUCGAGUUGUUUGGGAAUGCAGCUCAAAAUGGGUGGUGAAUUCCAUCUAAAGCUAAAUAUUGGCGAGAGACCGAUAGCGAACAAGUACCGUGAGGGAAAGAUGAAAAGCACUUUGGAAAGAGAGUUAAACAGUACGUGAAAUUGUUGAAAGGGAAACGAUUGAAGUCAGUCAUGCUCUUUGGAUUAAGCCGUUCUGCGGUGUAUUUCAUUG